UACAGAGGGUGCGAGCGUUAAUCGGAAUUACUGGGCGUAAAGCGUGCGUAGGUGGACGUUUAAGUCGAAUGUGAAAUCCCCGGGCUUAACCUGGGAACUGCAUCCGAUACUGGGCGUCUAGAGUAUAGUAGAGGAAAGUGGAAUUCCCGGUGUAGCGGUGAAAUGCGUAGAUAUCGGGAGGAACAUCAGUGGCGAAGGCGACUUUCUGGACUAAUACUGACACUGAGGCACGAAAGCGUGGGGAGCAAACAGG
RNAcentral lists this ribosomal RNA (253 nucleotides) under uncultured bacterium. RNAcentral describes it as "partial 16S ribosomal RNA". It matches the Rfam family "Bacterial small subunit ribosomal RNA", at positions 524 to 776 of the family's 1533-position model. The record is from RNAcentral.